This 428-nucleotide ribosomal RNA is filed under the name Bacteroidota bacterium. Its description in RNAcentral is "Bacteroidetes bacterium partial 16S ribosomal RNA". It matches the Rfam family "Bacterial small subunit ribosomal RNA", at positions 355 to 776 of the family's 1533-position model. The record is from RNAcentral. Lineage: Bacteria; Pseudomonadati; Bacteroidota.
UAGGGAAUCUUCCGCAAUGGACGCAAGUCUGACGGAGCAACGCCGCGUGAGUGAAGAAGGAUUUCGGUUCGUAAAACUCUGUUGUUAGAGAAGAACAGCGCAUAGAGUAACUGUUAUGCGUGUGACGGUAUCUAACCAGAAAGCCACGGCUAACUACGUGCCAGCAGCCGCGGUAAUACGUAGGUGGCAAGCGUUGUCCGGAUUUAUUGGGCGUAAAGCGAGCGCAGGCGGUUAGAUAAGUCUGAAGUUAAAGGCAGUGGCUCAACCAUUGUAGGCUUUGGAAACUGUUUAACUUGAGUGCAGAAGGGGAGAGUGGAAUUCCAUGUGUAGCGGUGAAAUGCGUAGAUAUAUGGAGGAACACCAGUAGCGAAGGCGACUCUCUAGUCUGUAACUGACGCUGAGGCUCGAAAGCGUGGGUAGCAAACAGG